GGGUUGUGAGGUUAAGCGACUAAGCGUACACGGUGGAUGCCCUGGCAGUCAGAGGCGAUGAAGGACGUGCUAAUCUGCGAUAAGCGCCGGUAAGGUGAUAUGAACCGUUAUAACCGGCGAUUUCCGAAUGGGGAAACCCAGUGUGACUCGUCACACUAUCAUUAACUGAAUCCAUAGGUUAAUGAGGCGAACCGGGGGAACUGAAACAUCUAAGUACCCCGAGGAAAAGAAAUCAACCGAGAUUCCCCCAGUAGCGGCGAGCGAACGGGGAGGAGCCCAGAGCCUGAAUCAGCAUGUGUGUUAGUGGAAGCGUCUGGAAAGGCGCGCGAUACAGGGUGACAGCCCCGUACACAAAAGCGCAUGUGCUGUGAGCUCGAUGAGUAGGGCGGGACACGUGGUAUCCUGUCUGAAUAUGGGGGGACCAUCCUCCAAGGCUAAAUACUCCUGACUGACCGAUAGUGAACCAGUACCGUGAGGGAAAGGCGAAAAGAACCCCGGCGAGGGGAGUGAAAAAGAACCUGAAACCGUGUACGUACAAGCAGUGGGAGCACAGGUUUACCUGUGUGACUGCGUACCUUUUGUAUAAUGGGUCAGCGACUUAUAUUCUGUAGCAAGGUUAACCGUAUAGGGGAGCCGUAGGGAAACCGAGUCUUAACCGGGCGUUAAGUUGCAGGGUAUAGACCCGAAACCCGGUGAUCUAGCCAUGGGCAGGUUGAAGGUUGGGUAACACUAACUGGAGGACCGAACCGACUAAUGUUGAAAAAUUAGCGGAUGACCUGUGGCU
RNAcentral lists this ribosomal RNA (784 nucleotides) under Salmonella enterica subsp. enterica serovar Mbandaka. Its description in RNAcentral is "partial 23S ribosomal RNA". It matches the Rfam family "Bacterial large subunit ribosomal RNA", at positions 1 to 816 of the family's 2925-position model. RNAcentral also lists the same sequence under 1 other name. The record is from RNAcentral. Lineage: Bacteria; Pseudomonadati; Pseudomonadota; Gammaproteobacteria; Enterobacterales; Enterobacteriaceae.